GAUGAACGCUGGCGGCGUGCUUAACACAUGCAAGUCGAACGAUGAAGCCCAGCUUGUUGGGUGGAUUAGUGGCGAACGGGUGAGUAACACGUGAGUAACCUGCCCUUAACUCUGGGAUAAGCCUGGGAAACUGGGUCUAAUACCGGAUAGGAGCGUCCACCGCAUGGUGGGUGUUGGAAAGAUUUAUCGGUUUUGGAUGGACUCGCGGCCUAUCAGCUUGUUGGUGAGGUAAUGGCUCACCAAGGCGACGACGGGUAGCCGGCCUGAGAGGGUGACCGGCCACACUGGGACUGAGACACGGCCCAGACUCCUACGGGAGGCAGCAGUGGGGAAUAUUGCACAAUGGGCGCAAGCCUGAUGCAGCGACGCCGCGUGAGGGAUGACGGCCUUCGGGUUGUAAACCUCUUUCAGUAGGGAAGAAGCGAAAGUGACGGUACCUGCAGAAGAAGCACCGGCUAACUACGUG
Molecule: ribosomal RNA, 466 nt
Filed under: uncultured bacterium
Lineage: Bacteria
Description: partial 16S ribosomal RNA
Rfam family: Bacterial small subunit ribosomal RNA
Source: RNAcentral